Long non-coding RNA from Oncorhynchus tshawytscha (Chinook salmon), 320 nucleotides. RefSeq lists it as uncharacterized. NCBI's taxonomy places the organism in Eukaryota, Metazoa, Chordata, Actinopteri, Salmoniformes, Salmonidae. The transcript has 3 exons. The record is from RefSeq and is a predicted model, not a curated record.
AUGCAAUGAAGAACACAGACAUUGACGGCCAAUUAUAUGCCAACGUAAGAGCCUUCAAACCCAGUACAAGAGAUGGAGUUGUUGCUUCAGUACAUGUUCAGUGGUGGAAGAGACCCUCUGGAGUUGCUGCAGUGUGUCUGGGGCUGCUGUGUGUUCUCCUACUGGCUGGGAUCAUAGGCCUGUCUGUCUACUAUGGAGUCAUUGGUCAUCACAACUCAACAGAGAGAGACCAGCUACAGACCAGUUACAACAACCUGACUGAAGAGAGAGACCAGCUACAGUCCAAUUACAACAACCUGACUAAAGAGAGAGACCAGCUU